This is a long non-coding RNA of Aegilops tauschii subsp. strangulata, 1628 nucleotides long. RefSeq lists it as uncharacterized. NCBI's taxonomy places the organism in Eukaryota, Viridiplantae, Streptophyta, Magnoliopsida, Poales, Poaceae. The record is from RefSeq and is a predicted model, not a curated record.
GCAUCUGCUCCUCUCCUUGAUCCUCACCUUUGCCCAGGCCGAGCUAUUCCCCCUCGCCGCCGCCACACCUCAGCCCCCUCGCCGUCGCGGCCGCACCUCAGCCCGCUCGCCGCCCCCGUCGCCGCCUCCGCGGUCGCACCUCAGCCCACUCGCCGCCCCCGUCGCAACCCAACCCCUCCUCCCCUCCAAUGGAUGCCGCCCCAACCACCUCAUCCAAUAGGAAGCCCCAGUUCGGCGGCCUCCGUUGCCGCCCUUCAGCGGCCACCUCGCCACCCCUCCAACGCCCACCACGUCCUUAUCCAACGCCUCCCUUCAGCGCCCACCCAUCCGCCUGCCCGCCCGGCAACGCCCGAUUGAAUUGUUGCUGCCAAGAUCUGCCUCAAUGUGGUUUGCAUCAUUGCGGCGACGACAUCGUCGAUCUUCAACUCCGGCAGGACUACCACAAUUCUCGCGGCUGAUGGCUGUGGAAAGCUGGAAAAUUUGCCUUUUCUAUCAAGAUGAGAAUCAACAACAUAAAGUUCUAGAAGGAUUCAUGGACAGGAAAGAUAUCUCCUUUUAUGAGUUAGUCAAAUUGAUUGAAGAAGUUGGCUUCUCGCCGGCAUAUGGUUUCUUGUACUACAGGAAGAAAUACCCUCGUGGCAGAUGCUAUUCUGACAUUGCUUCUGACCAUGAAAUACUUUGUGUUCAGUCUUCCCCUGGAAGUUAGCAUAGGAAUACACAAUGUUUCUUCAGAAUAACAGAGCACCAAAUCGAGGCAGCAGGCUGCCAUCGAAUUCCAUGGAAUAAAACUGACUUGUGGGUGUGAUUAAUCACUUACCAAAGUACAAGUUCAUUCUCUGAUGAAAAAGGUCAGUGUUUGGGGUGCACUGCGUAGCAAGGAUAUGUUGUAGGCUAUAUAGCUCUUCUGUGGACUGUGAGAGGUUGGGGUUCUCAUGCUUGCUUGGUCGGAACCUUUUCUUUUGAGUCGAUUGAUGAACGAUGGGCAUGAGGGCAUCUCUGCACUAACUAUGCUGUAUGUGUACUCCACUACAUACAGAUAGCUCGCUCGUCGUAUCUCGACAGAAGAAGAACAACUUUGAUCGAUGGAGAUGGAUUUCUUUCCUGGUGUUGCGAUUGUAUGUGCCUUGCCGACUAAACUAUCUUCUUUCUUAUUUACUGUCAGGUAGCUCUUUCAAAGAUAGCUCGCUCGUCGUAUCUCGACAGAAGAAGAACAACUUUGAUCGAUGGAGAUGGAUUUCUUUCCUGUUGGUGCGAUUCAGGGAAGCUAUUUGUGGUGUAAUAUGCAGCUAAAGGUAUUCCAGCAUGAGCUUCCAUGCACAACAUCAGUGCUUAAAGUAAAGGCUUCAGGACUUAAAAAUAACUUGAUUCUCUGCUCACAACCAACUGCAGCAAGAAAUAAUUUCAUAGCCACAGAUCGCGCCAAAGCAUAGCCAGCCUUGGUCCAAGGAGAUAGAGAAGUACUGACAAGGUGGCUCGUUCGCAAGUUGGAGCCAUCCAUGAGCUCACUGCUCUUGGUCGCUCACAGCAAAGAACUGCAUGUUGGCUGGGAUCUUGCCCAUGUAAUAUCUUCAGUACUGUAAUGGCAGAUUGUACUUUUGAUUACUUGAGCAAAUUUUUUUUGCAAUUUU